RNAcentral lists this ribosomal RNA (468 nucleotides) under uncultured bacterium. Its description in RNAcentral is "partial 16S ribosomal RNA". It matches the Rfam family "Bacterial small subunit ribosomal RNA", at positions 28 to 507 of the family's 1533-position model. The record is from RNAcentral.
GACGAACGCUGGCGGCGUGCUUAACACAUGCAAGUCGAACGGAAAGGCCCUGCUUUUGUGGGGUGCUCGAGUGGCGAACGGGUGAGUAACACGUGAGUAACCUGCCCUUGACUUUGGGAUAACUUCAGGAAACUGGGGCUAAUACCGGAUAGGAGCUCCUGCUGCAUGGUGGGGGUUGGAAAGUUUCGGCGGUUGGGGAUGGACUCGCGGGUUAUCAGCUUGUUGGUGGGGUAGUGGCUUACCAAGGGUUUGACGGGUAGCCGGCCUGAGAGGGUGACCGGCCACAUUGGGACUAAGAUACGGCCCAGACUCCUACGGGCGGCAGAAGUGGGGAAUAUUGCACAAUGGGCGGAAGCCUGAUGCAGCAACGCCGCGUGCGGGAUGACGGCCUUCGGGUUGUAAACCGCUUUCGCCUGUGACGAAGCGUGAGUGACGGUAAUGGGUAAAGAAGCACCGGCUAACUACGUG